Molecule: RNA transcript, 1502 nt
Organism: Glycine soja
Lineage: Eukaryota; Viridiplantae; Streptophyta; Magnoliopsida; Fabales; Fabaceae
Exons: 9
Source: RefSeq, a predicted model, not a curated record
UCACCACACCCAGAGACACAGACACAAAUAAUAAGAGAUUAUGAUUAUGUUGUCAUAUGUUUCAUAUUCCAAUUGCCUCGGUGGCAAUCAAUGAACAACGCCAAUUCUGAAACUUCUUCUCCUUCUUCUUCUUUUGUUUCUCUUGUGUACUUCUACUUCUUCUGAACAUGGAACUGUUGUCUCUGAGACUCACCCCUUCACCUUCGAGUUCGACUUCAUCGCUUCCUGCAGCACUUGCUCACUGCUCCAAGCUAUGUGAAUUUCAGCCGAGGAAGAAGAAGAAGGCGUGCUUCGACGCGCCUAGGCUUGCGGUGCGGUGUGUGAAGGCCUCGGCGGAGCGAACCGGUGAUACGAUCGAUGAUGGGGAGGCUCGUAGCGGGUUCACCACACCUGCCAUGGAAGUCACCACAUUCAAUCGAAGCACUUUCAGCGAUGCUGCUGACUUUCCCGUUUGGGAAAAGAUUGGUGCUGUCGUCAGACUCAGUUAUGGUAUCGGGAUUUAUGGUGCCAUGGCUGUUGCGGGGAGUUUUAUAUGUUCAAUCACGGGAAUUGACUCUCUGGGUGGUUUCCAUCUAUCGUUAGAUGCCAUUUUGGAAGGGCUUGGAUAUGCAGCUCCUCCAAUUAUGGCACUUUUGUUUAUACUCGAUGAUGAAGUUGUGAAGCUAUCACCCCAUGCCCGUGCCAUCAGAGAUGUAGAGGAUGAAGAACUGUGGAGCUUUUUCUAUGGGAUGUCCCCUUGGCAGUUUAUACUGAUGGUUGCAGCAAGUUCAGUUGGAGAGGAGCUCUUCUACAGGGCUGCUGUUCAGGGGGCAUUGGCUGAUAUAUUUUUACGAGGCAGUAAUCUUAUAACAGAUGUUCAAGGAAUGGCAUCAUUGACCGGUGUGCUGCCUCCAUUUGUUCCAUUUGCUCAAGCAUUUGCGGCUGUUCUUACAGCUGUCCUUACUGGUUCUCUCCUAUUACAUGGCUGCCUCUCCUAAAGAUCCUACUUAUGUUGUUGCACCUGUUUUUACAAUCUCGCUCUGGUCGCCAAGAUUUGAAAAAGCUAUUUGAAGCCUGGUAUGAAAAACGGCAAAUGAAAAAAAUCUAUUCCCCACUUCUGGAAGGACUGCUGCACUAUACCUAGGUUUCGAGUGGAUCCAAACUGAUAAUAUUCUUGCUCCCAUUAUCACACAUGGCAUAUAUUCCACUGUGAUAUUGGGACAUGGCCUUUGGAAGAUAAAUGACCACCGGCGUAGACUACGUCAAAGAAUCCAACAGCUCAGUCAGAAGAAAAAAAACUCCAACUAGAUUUUGAAAUAUCCUCCAUGUCCAUGACUGAUUUUGGUUUUAAAAAAAGUGUAUAUUAGAGUUGUUGUAUAAAAAAAAGAUAUGUAUACUCAUGUUAGUUUUGGUCUCGUACAUACAGAAUAUGCAGCUUUUGAUUACAGAAAUUUCGAAAUAAGAGUUGUAACUCUUUUUUCCCUUAAUAAAAUGGAAUAAUCCAAAAGUGGGUUUUUUUGUGC